RNAcentral lists this unclassified non-coding RNA (313 nucleotides) under Hevea brasiliensis (rubber tree). Lineage: Eukaryota; Viridiplantae; Streptophyta; Magnoliopsida; Malpighiales; Euphorbiaceae. The record is from RNAcentral.
AAGCUCUUGACGGACAUCGAGGGACGGAGCACGGUAGGCCGCCAUGUUAGGGUUGGCUACGAGCAUCUCCUCCGUCAAGCACAUGUGCCGUUUGUUGAUCAUGGACUUUUCACACAUUCGAGCAAAUUUGUGUUUGAGAUCGGUCAUAUGGUUGCUAUUUGUGACGUUGAAGUAGUAGUCAGGGAAGGUGCUCUGCUGCACAAGGUUGGGUGGUGCGGCAACGCCAAUAGCGAGUACGGUGGCCGUGCUGGAUGAUCGGGCUGAGCAAGGAAGCACAUCACCUACAGAACCCAUGGGUUUGGUUGGAUGAGAG